CCAAUGAUGGCACCUUUGUUUGAACCCACAUCUUCUGCAAAGAACACCUUGAAAACAAAUCAAGAAAAAGGACUGUAAUCGCAGGCGACAACCGGAGAAGAGCGACAACAGCAAUCAUUCAACAGUGAUGCCAUCAACGGAAUGACAUGAUAGGACAAUCCUGGGAAGAGUCUCUAAGUCUGGAAAGUCUAAAGAUAUACUUUGGCACAUCAGACUCAAGCAUGCGGUCUCCUGAAGUGUGAUGUUGGAAGAACCAGAACUAAUGCUACGAACGUAGCGGGGAAUUGGUCCAGAUGCUUGGGAGACUCACUUAUUUGCAGGUUAGAGAGGCUAUUGAUGAAGGAAGGGGACAGCGUCUGCUCAAGCGCACGAUGCGGAGGCAUAGAAGUAACCGGGUUAUACCUGGUCGGGUGGUCAGUCCUCGGUCGGCAGCAGGGCGGGCGUCGACAGGCUCAACUGGGCACAGGAAGCAAGAAACACGGAAAGCAAACAAGACAAAUCAAGAUGAUGACAUACAGCUGAAAUGUGUGCGAUGAUGGCUUUGGGAUCAGCAAUUUCAAUGAGACCACACAGCUUACUGGUGCACACAGCCCAGCCAUUCCAAGGUGGGAUUACAA
Neofelis nebulosa (Clouded leopard) is the source of this 617-nucleotide long non-coding RNA. RefSeq lists it as uncharacterized. The transcript has 5 exons. NCBI's taxonomy places the organism in Eukaryota, Metazoa, Chordata, Mammalia, Carnivora, Felidae. The record is from RefSeq and is a predicted model, not a curated record.